This 253-nucleotide ribosomal RNA is filed under the name uncultured bacterium. RNAcentral describes it as "partial 16S ribosomal RNA". It matches the Rfam family "Bacterial small subunit ribosomal RNA", at positions 524 to 776 of the family's 1533-position model. The record is from RNAcentral.
GACGUAGGGCGCGAGCGUUGUCCGGAUUUAUUGGGCGUAAAGAGCUCGUAGGCGGCUUGUCGCGUCGACUGUGAAAACCCGGGGCUCAACCCCGGGCCUGCAUUCGAUACGGGCAGACUAGAGUUCGGUAGGGGAGUCUGGAAUUCCUGGUGUAGCGGUGAAAUGCGCAGAUAUCAGGAGGAACACCGGUGGCGAAGGCGGGACUCUGGGCAGUAACUGACGCUGAGGAGCGAAAGCGUGGGGAGCGAACAGG